Molecule: ribosomal RNA, 253 nt
Filed under: uncultured bacterium
Lineage: Bacteria
Description: partial 16S ribosomal RNA
Rfam family: Bacterial small subunit ribosomal RNA
Source: RNAcentral
UACGAAGGGGGCUAGCGUUGUUCGGAAUUACUGGGCGUAAAGCGCACGUAGGCGGAUCGAUCAGUCAGGGGUGAAAUCCCGCAGCUCAACUGCGGAACUGCCUUUGAUACUGUCGAUCUAGAGUAUGGAAGAGGUGAGUGGAAUUCCGAGUGUAGAGGUGAAAUUCGUAGAUAUUCGGAGGAACACCAGUGGCGAAGGCGGCUCACUGGUCCAUUACUGACGCUGAGGUGCGAAAGCGUGGGGAGCAAACAGG